AGUUCCUGGUCUCGAGGAGGUGUGGUCCCCGGUUCAGACUCCUCCCAUUGUUCUAGUCGGAACUAGCGGCCUGCAUGGACUACCAUUCCCAGGGUACCGCGGGCUUCGGACCCUGGGAACCCGACCGACACCGGCAAACGAAGUUAGCUACUGCGCUAGGCGUGGGCUGAGGAAAGGGCGGUGAUGUUGGGAUAGGCUCAUUUCCAGGCGCAAUUCGGUAGCCGCAUUGCACGACGCGGAGAGGAGAUGCUGGAAAGGCUGGUCUCCCGUCCCUUGCUCUCAAGGAGAGCAGACGGGAGACCGAAACCACGACCUGAGCCUGCGCUCUUCUCCAGCCCUGUCGUACGCGAGCGGUGAUUGUUGUGGAACGCACCAGUCUUGGAGGCCUCCCCGCCACCCUUCCCGUCCUCCAGGGUCUGUAGUGCCUUCGCGGCGUGCUACCCUCGGGAAUUAUACUGACUCCCCAGAAAUAAAAUGUCUGACCCCUCUGUUCAGUGGGUGAAUGCCCAGCAGGGGCCGCUACAGGACAAGGGGCAAGGGUUGGACACCCCCCAUUGCCUACCCUCCCCCACCCCGCACAGACGAAAAGUCUGGACUCAUCCUGACUACAGAACACAGGAAACUCUUUAUUCUAGUGAUGAAAUUGAUAGUCCCCAGUUAAUCUUCACUCCGGCCAACUUUAAAUGUCUUGACUCGGGCUCGCGGCCAGCCAGCCGAGACUUCUGCAGCCCUCACUCAUCCGGAGAGGGUUCGUGGUUCCUGUCCCGCAACGCUUCAGUCAAAGUAGCCUGGCAGCCCUAGAGACAGGGCCGGCUGAGCCCGCCCGCCGUUCAUUCUUUGGUUGGACGCCUGUCAAGCCAGGGAAGCUACCAGCACUCGGUCAGGUGGCAGAGGAGGAGGUUGCCAGUGUGCCUGUGUGGACAGAGAAGUCAAAAUCCCUGAGGCUGACUCCAUACAUCCAGGCAAGAAAUGGAGAGCUUCGGUGGGACAGAGGCAGCAGUUCUUACCCUGCUUACCUGUGUGCCCUUGCCCAGACUCUUCUAUCUCCCAAGGGCUGAGUUGUUCAGGGCCCGGGGGAAAGGAUCCUGCAAGUAGAGUGAGUUGGGGGCCCCCGCUAAGACCGGACUCCUGGAGCCCAGCCGCUGUGCAGAGGCACUGGAUGGAACAAGGGCUUACCUGGAGCGGGGCUGGAGGAGGCCAGCUGAUUCUGACUCCAGAGACCUUUGGAGUGGCUCAAGGUCAGUGGGAUCCUGGAUGGAGAAGAAUUACAGCCUUGGCGAAGCCUGAGAACCUAACCACCUCUGGCCUCUCUCAUGAUCGGAAUAUUUUGUAGUCUCCUUAACUCAGGAAAUGUAGUGAUGUGGUACCCUUCCACCUGCCUCUCCUGAGCUCCUCCCUCCCAGCCCAGAUAUCUUCCACUAAGCCCUUCACUCACCUCUGGUCUUGAGGCCAGACCUGCCAGGCUGCAGUGAUGGGAGUGCUAAGGGAGAAGGGGGUGCCAUAUCUGGGCGGCCACAGGAAAAUGCUCCACAGGGUAGGUUGGCCCUCUCUACACCAAGGGGCCUCAGCCCACCAGGGCCUGGGAAUGAGGCUGGUUAGGAGGGAACCUGGUGGGGAAAGGAGACCAGGGUGCCCAGGGAGACACUCCUCAGAGCCCUCAGGGCUCUCUAUACCUCCUAUGGCCUCUCCUUGCUUCCUUUCUGCUCCCCUGUGGCCCGUGGGGGCUGGGCUGAGGGCCUCCUCUGAUCUCAUCUUCCUAGUUAUCCCUGCCAUCUCAGGGCUCUCUCUGGGUGCUUUGCGCUUAUUUAGCAUCUCCUGUUCUCUCCCAUUACUUCUAAAAUCUUUCUCUGAUUUCUGUUUCUCUCCAGGACCCCCAGGUCCUCUCUCAGAAUUCCUCAUGAGUUCCUCUGCCUCCUGGCGCCUCUUCAGUCCUGGAUCCAGCUCAUCUUCAUUCUUGUCCUUUUGAGCUCGCUUGCAUGCCUCUUCCAGGGCCUGCACCCCCAAGGCUCUGGCUGCCUCUUCAAGGUUCCCCAGCUCCCCAGGCUGUAGCUCUACACUCUCUCCAUACACAAAGGACUCCAAGGUAUUCAGACCUGCCUUCUGCUACUCUCUUCCUCCAGAUCCAGGAUGCUUCCCCUCCGUUCUAGCUUGGAUGCAGGCAAGUGUCAAGACUCCCUAGAUCAGACAGGGUGUGUCAGUGGGUGAGGCUGGUGAAGGGCAGCAGGGUGGAGGUAGGGGAAGGUGAGUCAGAGCGAAAAGGAGAAUGCAAAUGACGGCUCAUCUGCUCCUCUGAAUGUUUAAUAGUUUCCAUUUCUGAGCUUUCUAAUUCCUAACGUCACACACUCGGGAACACACUAGAUACUCCUAUGUAAAAGACACAAAGUGCCAAUCCUGAUAGGUGUGCAAACACAAACCUUUGUCCAACACAAAAACACAUGGUCUCUAAAAACAAGAAGUGGGGCAAAGCCACAGUUGUAGAGGGAAAGGUACUGGGGUCUGGCAACAGCCCCAUCACUCAGAAGAGGAAGCCCCUCCCGCCCCUCCCUCCCCUCCCUGCCAGUGACUCAGCUGCCCCACUAGUGUGCUUUACCCACUGAUGACCAAGAAGUGGGGGCUGCUCAAAGUAUCUCUGUAAGCAAAGAUAGUUGAUGGGGGUGACAGUGAGCUUUCGGGGUACUCAAAGGGCGAAAUGAGCAAGGGGACUCCCGCUGAGUAAACAAAAGCCCCCUAAAAAUAGGAAACCCCAUCUUGUCUCCCACUUGGUGUCACCCAUGGUAAGGCUAUCCCCCUUAGAGGUAUUCACAGGGUCUUUGAACCUGAGCCCUUAUGCUGGUAACACUUGAGGCCCUCCUAGCCUCUUCCUAUAGCCACGGAAGGGCAAUCCAAGCCGUUGGGCAUUAAGCAAAGACGGCAGAAACCCAUAGCAAGCACUUAGACUUGCCCCUACAAGAGUAGGGGACACUGCUGUUAGAUCCCAGGCCUUCUAAGUGCCUUUCUCAAUAUCCUGGACAGUUAGCCACCUCCCCUCUGCUCCCCAGCUGUCUAGGAUACAGUUAAGAAGCGGUGCUGUUCUGUGGCCUUGCAGACUCUCCCUCUCACCAUUACAAUACAAGGUUAUCUAGUACCUGGCUCCAUGUAGAUUUGCUAGACUAAAUCACAUGGUAUAAAACUUCCUGCUACUUCAUAGAAACCUAUACAAGUCAGAAAAAUCCUCUGGGAUCAGGUGGCUUUUCUUCAAGACCCCUAUUAUGCUGAGACUCUCCUAAUGAAGUACCUCUCUAGGCUAUGUUUGUUAGUUUGUUUGUUUGAGGCAGGGUUUCUCUG
Onychomys torridus (southern grasshopper mouse) is the source of this 3324-nucleotide long non-coding RNA. RefSeq lists it as uncharacterized. The transcript has 3 exons. Lineage: Eukaryota; Metazoa; Chordata; Mammalia; Rodentia; Cricetidae. The record is from RefSeq and is a predicted model, not a curated record.